GAUAGCUCACUCAGUAGAGCAUGAGACUCUUAAGCUCAAGGUCACGGGUUCACGUCCCAUGUUGGGCA
This is a non-coding RNA of Podarcis lilfordi (Lilford's wall lizard), 68 nucleotides long. The record is from the annotation of a GenBank genome assembly. NCBI's taxonomy places the organism in Eukaryota, Metazoa, Chordata, Lepidosauria, Squamata, Lacertidae.